Molecule: small RNA, 745 nt
Filed under: Histoplasma capsulatum
Lineage: Eukaryota; Fungi; Ascomycota; Eurotiomycetes; Onygenales; Ajellomycetaceae
Also listed under: 1 other name
Description: hypothetical RNA
Source: RNAcentral
GGGUGGUGUCAAUUGGCGUCCCUUUGCGAUGCGAUAGAGGUGACGUGAAGGCGGGAUGAUGUUUGGGAGUCGACGGUGGUGGAGGAGGCUCUGCGGCGGAGGUUGGAAGGCUGUUUGCCGCGAGAAUGACGCGCCAGUAAAUAAAUGAUCUCCGUGAGACAAACACCCGCGGUUGUUGCUUCUGGGUGGCUACAGGCUCGUUUCCAUCGAUUGACCUACUACCUUCGCACAGUGAUGAUAUAAUGAUAAGUACAGAAUACAGUUUUUCCAAUUCUCCUUGGAGCCUCUCUCUCUUCCUUUCUCUUUCCCCCCUCUUUUCUUCGCUUCCUUUCUCGCUCAUUUCUUCUCCAGUUCUUUGAAGGGAAAAAAAUGUAAAACCCUAUUUCAAACUCCCCCCUUUCGCGAAAUAUCCCCAAAGUUUGAAUAAACAACAUUACCCGAAAAUGGUCUUGGUGAUCUAUAUACUUUGUUUGGCUUGCCUAUUUAGACUUGGCCAAUAUUUUUUUUCUUUUACUCUGUGGGGAUUAAACGGUGGCCCAUGGGCAAGCUACGAAGCUAUGUAAUGUAUAUAAGUCGAACGACAGCCUGGUCCAGGGCAAAUGCAAUAAGAUCCCUAGUUAAGGGACCGAUAAAAGCAAAAGAAUAAUGGGAACGUUUUGCAUUGAAUGAAAAGGGUCAUUGAAGCUACACCACACUGGUCUAUUACCCUCUCCAUCUUUCGCAAUGUAUCUAAAUUGAAGCAAUC